Molecule: ribosomal RNA, 253 nt
Filed under: uncultured bacterium
Lineage: Bacteria
Description: partial 16S ribosomal RNA
Rfam family: Bacterial small subunit ribosomal RNA
Source: RNAcentral
UACGGGGGGGGCAAGCGUUGUUCGGAAUUACUGGGCGUAAAGGGCUCGUAGGCGGCCAACUAAGUCAUACGUGAAAUCCCUCGGCUUAACCGGGGAACUGCGUCUGAUACUGGAUGGCUUGAGUUCGGGAGAGGGAUGCGGAAUUCCAGGUGUAGCGGUGAAAUGCGUAGAUAUCUGGAGGAAUACCGGUGGCGAAAGCGACUCUCUGGACGGCAACUGACGCUGAGGCACGAAAGCGUGGGGAGCAAACAGG